GCCCCUGCUGCCCACCGCUGUCGCCCCCUCACCUCUUGGCGUCCGGGGCCACCUGGCCCCGCACUCUGAGGCACUCCCCAGGUUUGAGAUUCAGGUUGCUGGCGACCAGACCCUGCACAAACAAGACCCCGCCCAGCCAGUUGUCUGCCCCCACGCCAUCCCUGGGCCUUGGGGUGGGGCCCCCAUACUCACACAAGCCAUGACUGAAGAGAGAAGGAUGUUCCUGGGACUGCGGCACCAGCUGUCUGAAGACUACCGGAGAGAUGUGCCCCUGGCCGCUCCCACCCUUUUAACUGGACCAGACCCCGGGUUUGGAGAGCUUCCAGGUUGGUGAACACAUCCACAUCCAUGCUGGGAGGCUGCCGCACCCCAACUCCAUGGUGACAGAAGCUUCUGCACCUCGCCCUAUGGGUCUUCAUCUAGCUGUUCAUCUGCAUGCUUUAUCAUCCCCUUUAUUAUAUAAUAAACCAGUAAUCGUAGUGUUACCCUGAGUUUUCAAACCUGAGAAGGGGGUUGUGGGAACCUCUGAUUUAUAGCCAGUUGGUCAGAAGUACAGGUGAUGACUCUGGACUUGCGAUUGGCAUUGAAGUGGGGGAGAAUCUUAGGAGACCGAGCCCGUAACCUUUGGGGUCUGCACUAACUCCAGGUAGUGUCAGAAUUGAAUUAAAAUUGUAGGA
Long non-coding RNA from Camelus dromedarius (Arabian camel), 677 nucleotides. RefSeq lists it as uncharacterized. The transcript is spliced from 3 exons. Lineage: Eukaryota; Metazoa; Chordata; Mammalia; Artiodactyla; Camelidae. The record is from RefSeq and is a predicted model, not a curated record.